Molecule: small nuclear RNA, 105 nt
Organism: Microtus ochrogaster (prairie vole)
Lineage: Eukaryota; Metazoa; Chordata; Mammalia; Rodentia; Cricetidae
Source: Ensembl
GUUCCUCCUUCAGCAACACAUGCAUUAAAAUCAGAACAGUACAGGUGAUUAGCAUGGCCCCCAUGCAAGGAUGGCACAAAAAUUGGGUAAAUGUUCCACAAUUUU